RNAcentral lists this ribosomal RNA (229 nucleotides) under uncultured bacterium. RNAcentral's name for it is "partial 16S ribosomal RNA". It matches the Rfam family "Bacterial small subunit ribosomal RNA", at positions 568 to 796 of the family's 1533-position model. The record is from RNAcentral.
UGCGUAGGCGGAAUAUUAAGUCAGUGGUGAAAUCCUGCAGCUUAACUGUAGAACUGCCAUUGAUACUGGUCUUCUUGAAUAUAGUUGAGGUGGGCGGAAUGUGUAAUGUAGCGGUGAAAUGCUUAGAUAGUACACAGAACACCGAUUGCGAAGGCAGCUCACUAAACUAUCAUUGACGCUGAGGCACGAAAGCGUGGGGAGCGAACAGGAUUAGAUACCCUGGUAGUCC